Molecule: long non-coding RNA, 1772 nt
Organism: Nelumbo nucifera (sacred lotus)
Lineage: Eukaryota; Viridiplantae; Streptophyta; Magnoliopsida; Proteales; Nelumbonaceae
Source: RefSeq, a predicted model, not a curated record
GAGAGGGAGCAUUGAUCCAAAAAAAGAGGAGAACAAGCUAAAAGGAGAGGGGAGAUACCAAGAAGAGAAGAAAUAUAUUUUUCAAGAGAGAAAAAAUAGAGAGAGGGAGAAGCUCUUCUAUGAGAAAAAAAUAGAGAGAGGGAGAUAGAGGCUUCUUCGAGGAGGAAAAGCGGAAGAAACGAACUGAGGCGGGUUAAAGGAAGAAGAAAACUCCGCUCGGUGCUAUCGUUCUCCAUUUCCUUGUCAAAAGGUUCCAGAGAAAGGUCCCAUUCACUAAAAGGUUUGACAAGGAAAAGAAUCCUUUACCUCUUCAUUUCUAUUCUAAGGUAUAUAUCGCUAUCGGGGGUUCUACCAUCACUAGUCUCCUAUUCGAAGCUAAGUUGAAACCCUCAUGUGUCUGCCUGACAGAAAGCAUCCAAGAAAAUCUAACUCUCUAGUUGCCUUGCAUCAUUUCUAAUCUAUCCAUUCAAAGGGCACAAGAGGGAUUGUUUGUGGGUUUGCAUUGCCAAGUAGAUCCGGUUCUCUUCAACAAAGAAAAAAAGGUUUCAAACUUCCUGCCACUUGUGAGAUGGAAGAAGGGAUUGAAUAGGUAAGGUGCUUGCAAACAGAUUGAGGCAGGUUCUUGGCAGUAUCAUUUCUCCAUCUCAAGGGGCAUUUGUAGAUGGCAAGCAAAUAUUGGAUGGUUAUUUGAAAGUGGAUGAAUGCAUUGACUCAAGACUGAGGGCAGGGUAACAAGGUGUAAUGAUCAUGUAGAUAUGGGGAAACUUUAUGACCAUGUCCAAUGGGAAUUUGUGGAUUACAUGCUUCAUUAAAUGGCAUUUGGAAUCAAGUGGAGGAGGUGGACUCAAUCCUGUUUUCUCAACAGCUUUGUUUUCCAUUAUGGUGAAUGGGGGUUCCCAAAGGCUACUUUGUAAGGAGGAAAGGGUAUCCAGCAGAGAGAUCCCUUAUGGGGAUGAAAAUCAAAGCCGGUCCACAGGUGAGGUUCAUGCUUCCUAUGAGGUUAGCAUUCGGAAGGCCAUAACUAAACUCAACCAAUCUCGGAGAAACAUCUUGUUUAAGCUAAGAAAUGGAGAGCAAACUAAUUUAUGGAAAAUCCCAUUUUCUGUGGACUCAACCCCUCAAUGAACUCUUCCCUUCUCUAUUCCUACUGGUUAGAACAAGGAAGUAUCAAUUAGAGGUUAUGAUUAUUAGGAGAUCUUGGGAAAUCAGGUGUCAUGGACCAAUAGGUCAAAGGUGUAUUCUAGAAGAAGAAGGAAUCCAUGUCAGCUCCCAAGGAUAGCUAAUCAAGAAUCAAUUAAAUGUAACAAAUCAAGUAGCCAAGUUGGUUGGUAAGUGGUUGGGAGCAAGUUGAUGAUCGUUUGGAAUGGAAUGGAGAUACAGUUGCACGAGGUCACCAGAGACUUGCAAGAGAUUAGGCAUGUUGUAGCAGUCCCAAAUUGACCCCUCCAAGGCAAGAUAGCAUGUGGUGGACCUUGGAGACUUGGAGCAGAUUUUCAGUUCAAUCAUUUUUCAAAUCUUCAGCUCUUAGCUCAAUUAUCCCUACCCUUUGGUCAUGAAUAUGGAAAACUAAAUGGACAUUGAAGGUAGUAUUUUUCCUGUGGUCUGAAAUCCUUAGUAGAAUCCCAACAACUGUUCAUCUUAUAUAAAAGGGGUUGGCUUUUGAUAAUCAGUGUUCCUUAUGCCAAUCAGAAAUUGAUGUAUUGUGUUGCCCAGUCUCUGACUGUAUUUGGUGCCAUUUCAUACAACUUUUCAAGGUAUCAUGGUCAUGCCAA